Molecule: ribosomal RNA, 255 nt
Filed under: uncultured bacterium
Lineage: Bacteria
Description: partial 16S ribosomal RNA
Rfam family: Bacterial small subunit ribosomal RNA
Source: RNAcentral
GCGGUAAUACAGAGGGUGCGAGCGUUAAUCGGAAUUACUGGGCGUAAAGCGUGCGUAGUCGGCUUCUUAAGUCAGGGGUGAAACCCCGGGGCUCAACCCCGGGCCUGCCUCUGAAACUGGGAGACUUGAGUACCCUAGAGGACAGUGGAAUUGCCGGUGUAGCAGUGAAAUGCGUAGAGAUCGGCAGGAACACCAGUGGCGAAGGCGACUGUCUGGGGGGAAACUGACGCUGAGGCGCGAAAGCUGGGGGAGCAA